GAUGAACGCUGGCGGCGUGCCUAAUACAUGCAAGUCGAGCGAACGGACGAGAAGCUUGCUUCUCUGAUGUUAGCGGCGGACGGGUGAGUAACACGUGGAUAACCUACCUAUAAGACUGGGAUAACUUCGGGAAACCGGAGCUAAUACCGGAUAAUAUUUUGAACCGCAUGGAUCAAAAGUGAAAGACGGUCUUGCUGUCACUUAUAGAUGGAUCCGCGCUGCAUUAGCUAGUUGGUAAGGUAACGGCUUACCAAGGCAACGAUGCAUAGCCGACCUGAGAGGGUGAUCGGCCACACUGGAACUGAGACACGGUCCAGACUCCUACGGGAGGCAGCAGUAGGGAAUCUUCCGCAAUGGGCGAAAGCCUGACGGAGCAACGCCGCGUGAGUGAUGAAGGUCUUCGGAUCGUAAAACUCUGUUAUUAGGGAAGAACAUAUGUGUAAGUAACUGUGCACGUCUUGACGGUACCUAAUCAGAAAGCCACGGCUAACUACGUG
Molecule: ribosomal RNA, 497 nt
Filed under: uncultured bacterium
Lineage: Bacteria
Description: partial 16S ribosomal RNA
Rfam family: Bacterial small subunit ribosomal RNA
Source: RNAcentral